GUGCUCGCUUUGGCAGCACAUAUACUAAAACUGGAACAAUACAGAGGAGAUUAGCAUGGUCCCUGCACAAGGAUGACACAAAAAUUUGUGAAGCGUUCCAUAUUUUU
This is a small nuclear RNA of Dasypus novemcinctus (nine-banded armadillo), 107 nucleotides long. The record is from Ensembl. NCBI's taxonomy places the organism in Eukaryota, Metazoa, Chordata, Mammalia, Cingulata, Dasypodidae.